UUGUCAAUUAAUUUAGUAAAACUUCAUAAUACUCCCUAAAUUGGUUGACUAACCACUAUAAAAUCGCUAUUCUCUAGUAAAACGGAGACAACAAAGGUUCCAAACCUCUUUGACCUUCAUCAUAUGUUAGUGAAGGAUGCAACUAUGCAUUAAAAUAGAAUUUUCAUUUUUUUAAUUUUUUUAUCAAAAUCUAUGGGUGUUAACCCCUACGAAAAUAUUGAAUUUUUCGGUAAAUGCUCU
RNAcentral lists this long non-coding RNA (240 nucleotides) under Brassica rapa (field mustard). RNAcentral's name for it is "long non-coding RNA (BRAP_LNC000750)". Lineage: Eukaryota; Viridiplantae; Streptophyta; Magnoliopsida; Brassicales; Brassicaceae. The record is from RNAcentral.